This is a long non-coding RNA of Diabrotica virgifera virgifera (western corn rootworm), 909 nucleotides long. RefSeq lists it as uncharacterized. The transcript is spliced from 4 exons. Lineage: Eukaryota; Metazoa; Arthropoda; Insecta; Coleoptera; Chrysomelidae. The record is from RefSeq and is a predicted model, not a curated record.
CAUAACCAAAGUGUAUAAUUAGAUUUUUAUUAUAGAAAAAUAAACAAUAUAAUAUGAACUUUUAUGGGCCCCAGAGAGGGGUAAGAAAAAUCUUUUAGUUUAAUAAAUCUAUACGGAGCAUACCGUGCGAGUCCCACUUACAAGUCAAGAGGACAUGCGAGUCCCGCCAGUUAUACAUGGCACACUCAGCAAACAAUAUGAGACCCAGCGAUGUUGCCACAACGCUGGGUCUCGUAUUGUUUGCCGAAUCUUUUAGGUACUCCCCGGUUUUUAUAUUUCACCUCGAAUUUAACAGUUUUGUUUCAGCGGUUGCUAUUUUAAUUCUUGUGAAUAGUAAGGGCGGACGUAAAAUAGUGAUUUUAGGCGCAAGUAUAAAUAUUAGGUACCUAUGGAAAAUAGAUCGAAAAAAUUUUUGGAACGCGUUGGACGAAAAUAAUAAAAAAAAAGAUUAUUCAAAUGCAAAUAAGAUGGGAAAAUCUUAUUUUGGGCCGCCUAGCAAAACGAAACACAAUGCGAAAAAAAAAACUGAGCUUUUAGAGCCCAAUGUAAAGAUCUUAUCGAACGUUAACCUUAAAGAAAAAAUUGGUAACUACUUGCAAACUAUAACAACUCACUUUUUUUUUAAUGUCAAGAAAAUAAAAUAGAUGAAUCAACAUUAUCUGAAAGUAAAAAUAACGUAGAGACUCCAUUUAAUAAAUAUGAUAAAGAAAAGAAACAGGACCAUUUAAAUCCCAAAGCAAAUAUUUUACUGGAACCAGAUGUUAAACUUAAUGAUAAUAUUGAUAACGACUCACAACCUUUAAACAAAACCUUGGAUUUAUAUAAAUUUCAAGAAAAUGAUUUAGAGGAAAAAGCAUCAAAAUCGCCUGAAUACGAUAAGCUGGAAGAAAAAACUUACACUCCAUUAAA